RNAcentral lists this ribosomal RNA (523 nucleotides) under uncultured prokaryote. RNAcentral's name for it is "bacterial SSU rRNA". It matches the Rfam family "Bacterial small subunit ribosomal RNA", at positions 355 to 896 of the family's 1533-position model. The record is from RNAcentral.
UUGGGAAUCUUGGACAAUGGGGGAAACCCUGAUCCAGCCAUGCCGCGUGAGUGAUGAAGGCCUUCGGGUUGUAAAACUCUUUCGACGGGGACGAUAAUGACGGUACCCGUAGAAGAAGCUCCGGCUAACUUCGUGCCAGCAGCCGCGGUAAUACGAAGGGGGCUAGCGUUGUUCGGAAUUACUGGGCGUAAAGCGCGCGCAGGCGGUCUUCCAAGUCAGUGGUGAAAGCCCGGAGCUCAACUCCGGAACUGCCAUUGAAACUGUGAGACUUGAGUACGAGAGAGGUGAGUGGAAUUCCCAGUGUAGAGGUGAAAUUCGUAGAUAUUGGGAAGAACACCGGUGGCGAAGGCGGCUCACUGGCUCGUAACUGACGCUCAGGCGCGACAGCGUGGGGAUCAAACAGGAUUAGAUACCCUGGUAGUCCACGCCGUAAACGAUGAAUGCUAGCCGUUGGAUAGCCUGCUAUUCAGUGGCGCAGCUAACGCAUUAAGCAUUCCGCCUGGGGAGUACGGCCGCAAGGUUG